Molecule: ribosomal RNA, 253 nt
Filed under: uncultured bacterium
Lineage: Bacteria
Description: partial 16S ribosomal RNA
Rfam family: Bacterial small subunit ribosomal RNA
Source: RNAcentral
UACAGAGGGGGCAAGCGUUGUUCGGAAUUACUGGGCGUAAAGGGCGCGUAGGCGGCCUUCUAAGUCGAACGUGAAAUCCCCGGGCUCAACCCGGGAACUGCGUCCGAUACUGGAAGGCUUGAAUCCGGGAGAGGGAUGCGGAAUUCCAGGUGUAGCGGUGAAAUGCGUAGAUAUCCGGAGGAACACCGGUGGCGAAGGCGGCAUCCUGGACCAACACUGACGCUGAGGAGCGAAAGCCAGGGGAGCAAACGGG